UAAAGUUGUUGCAGUUAAAAAGCUCGUAAUUGAAUUUUAGGCCUGGCCGGGCGGUCCGUCUUUGGCGAGUACUGUUCUGUGUCGGGUCUUACCUUCUGGUGAACCGGCACGUUCUUUUAUCGCGUGUGCCGUGGGAACCAGGACCAUUACCUUGAAAAAAUUAGAGUGUUUAAAGCGGGCUUUUGCUUGAAUAGAUUAGCAUGGAAUAAUAAAANAGGACGUUGGUUCUAUUUUGUUGGUCUAGGACCACCGUAAUGAUUAAUAGGG
This 267-nucleotide ribosomal RNA is filed under the name uncultured Archaeospora. RNAcentral describes it as "partial small subunit ribosomal RNA". It matches the Rfam family "Eukaryotic small subunit ribosomal RNA", at positions 605 to 877 of the family's 1831-position model. The record is from RNAcentral. Lineage: Eukaryota; Fungi; Glomeromycota; Glomeromycetes; Archaeosporales; Archaeosporaceae.